UAACAACGAACGGCAAGAAGUCAGCAGAGGCCAUAGUACCGGUUUUCCACUGGGAAGG
Molecule: non-coding RNA, 58 nt
Filed under: human gut metagenome
Source: RNAcentral